Molecule: transfer RNA, 71 nt
Filed under: bovine gut metagenome
Rfam family: tRNA
About the family: Transfer RNA (tRNA) molecules are approximately 80 nucleotides in length.
Source: RNAcentral
GGGAUAUAGCUCAGCUGGGAGAGCGCUGCGUUCGCAACGCAGAGGUCAGGGGUUCGAAUCCCCCUAUCUCC